This 862-nucleotide long non-coding RNA is filed under the name Marmota monax (woodchuck). Lineage: Eukaryota; Metazoa; Chordata; Mammalia; Rodentia; Sciuridae. The record is from RNAcentral.
AGUUAUCUCAGUAGUAAGGAGCAGGGAAAUAGAGCAUCAUUUUCUUAAUAGAAGAAGGAUAACUUUAGCUUUUAUUUUUUGUACCAUUAAAACUGCUAUUAAAAUUGUUACUAGUUAACAUUUAGUUAGAUAAUUACUGUAUCACUGACAUCUGAUUUUUAAGAUGUAUUUACAUACUAUUGAAACUGAGUGCUAUUUUGCCAUUAAUGCUGCUGCUUUGCCAACAAAGAGAGAAUCGAAACUAACUGAAUGUAUUAAUAAUUUUACAAUGGGAUGCUACACUUUUUGAUACAGUAGAUUAUUGACAUUUGUAAGGCAUAUAUCUUAAAGUCUUUGUGAGUUCACAAAUUCUUUGCCACCUAGAGCACACGAUUAUCUCAGUUUCUUCCUCAGUAAAGAAAGGAGUACUUACUGAGUGUGAGGGGCAAAAGAUGUCCAGCAUCAAUAAGAGAAGAGUAAAAUGACAGUGAGAAGCAAAUGCUUGGAUCUAAUAAACUAGGCUCAGGCUUGAGGGAGGUGAUUUGCUUUCACAUACUAAUGUUUCCACUUCACAAUCAUGCUUCCCAGAAACACUGCAAUUUAUCUUGGAUCUCCAUGGUUACUAAGAAAUUGAUAAAAGGAUUAAUAUUGCAUCUGCAAAGUCCCUGCAUCUACUGUGUAUAAAAAUGAUUUAUCUUGUUUAAUAUAAAUGUUUUCUGUAGACAUAAACCAUCUCAAUCUCUUUGAUUUUUAUUAACAUAUUGAUUGAAAUAAAUGUUUUUGUUUAAAAAUAUUAACAUUGUACUUAAGAGAUAAAGUGUUAUGUACCUCAAAUAGAAGUGUGUAAUGUUGUACAUUAUCUAUUGCCCAUUUUCAAAUUUCC